CCUGUUUAACAAAAACAUGUCUUUUUGAGUUAUUUUUAAAGUCUGACCUGCCCACUGAAAUUAUUUAAAUGGCCGCAGUAUUUUAACUGUGCAAAGGUAGCAUAAUCAUUAGUCUUUUAAUUGAAGGCUGGUAUGAACGGUUGGACGAGGUAUAAGCUGUUUCAUAUAAAUUUAUAAUAGAAUUUUAUAUUUUAGUCAAAAAGCUAAAAUUUAAUUAAAAGACGAGAAGACCCUAUAAAUCUUUAUAUUUUAUGUUGUUUAAAUUUUUUAGAUUUAUUUGAUUUUUAUAAUUUGGAAUAUUUUGUUGGGGUGAUAUUAAAAUUUAAUAAACUUUUAAUUAGUUAUAAAUCAUUAAUUUAUGAACAAUUGAUCCAUUAGUAGUGAUUAUAAGAUUAAGUUACUUUAGGGAUAACAGCGUAAUUUUUUUGGAGAGUUCAUAUCGAUAAAAAAGUUUGCGACCUCGAUGUUGGAUUAAGAUAUAUUUUUAGGUGUAGCCGCUUAAAC
This 504-nucleotide ribosomal RNA is filed under the name Bactrocera distincta. Its description in RNAcentral is "partial large subunit ribosomal RNA". It matches the Rfam family "Bacterial large subunit ribosomal RNA", at positions 1799 to 2568 of the family's 2925-position model. The record is from RNAcentral. Lineage: Eukaryota; Metazoa; Arthropoda; Insecta; Diptera; Tephritidae.